RNAcentral lists this ribosomal RNA (253 nucleotides) under uncultured bacterium. RNAcentral's name for it is "partial 16S ribosomal RNA". It matches the Rfam family "Bacterial small subunit ribosomal RNA", at positions 524 to 776 of the family's 1533-position model. The record is from RNAcentral.
GACAGAGGGGGCGAGCGUUGUCCGGAGUCACUGGGCGUAAAGCGCGCGCAGGCGGCAACCUAAGUGUCGUGUGAAAGCGCCCGGCUCAACCGGGGGAGGCCAUGGCAAACUGGGUCGCUCGAGCUGCGGAGAGGCCCCUCGAAUUGCCGGUGUAGCGGUGAAAUGCGUAGAGAUCGGCUGGAAGACCAAGGGGGAAGCCAGGGGGCUGGCCGCAGGCUGACGCUGAGGCGCGACAGCGUGGGGAGCAAACCGG